Long non-coding RNA from Hermetia illucens (black soldier fly), 1690 nucleotides. RefSeq lists it as uncharacterized. NCBI's taxonomy places the organism in Eukaryota, Metazoa, Arthropoda, Insecta, Diptera, Stratiomyidae. The record is from RefSeq and is a predicted model, not a curated record. The transcript has 3 exons.
GCUGUUAAAUAUUGCACUUACAUAAAAAAAUGCAUGCACUUCAAAUAGUAGUCUAAAAGCCAAGGUGCAGAAUGACAAAUCUCCUAUUAACGCCAAUAUAAAGGUAUGUAUAUGCAAAUUUUGAUCUAUUAAUUGACAACCAUCAAAACUCGACGAAAUUACACGAAAAAUGUGUAAAUGUCAUCAAAUCAAUUAACGACAGUUUUAUUAUGCCAUGUGCGUGUUCAUAAAAAAAGAAGCGGAAAGGUGACAAAACAAGUCAAGAUUAUAAGCGCAUGUUGUAGUGAUCGCACUGCCAUGAUCUAAACUAGAUAAACAAAGUAUGCGCGAGCAUUAUCGAUACUCCGAAAUCUAGAUCCCGCAGACUGUGGACGUAAGCUCCCAGGCAUCCGCGCUCCCCGCACUGGGUCGCUCGAGAUCGCUAGCUAAUCUGCCUGCGAUCCGUAGAUCGCCAUCGACUCGAAUCAAGCACACAUGAUUAUCUAACGCGAACGCUCUUCAGGCAAGCGCGAUAAGCGCUCCCGGAGGAGGGGUAAUCGUUUCAUAAUUUAUUUGACAUUGAUAAUAGCCCCUUGUUCGGAGCUUUCCAACAAAAAACAUAAUUCCUUUAUCUGAUAAUUCUGGCCAAUUAUAUUGGAAACAUGAGUGUGGGUGCAGAUAUCGCGUUUUGCUUUGUCUUCAUCGAAGCGCUGAUUUCAUUAGUCAGGGCGCGCUGUACGGAUAAAGCUGGACGGACCGCAUUGUUUGCCUGGGGCAACAAGCUGGGUUGCGAGGUGGAACACCAAAACAAACACUCUUGUCACGUUAUCACAUCACAAAAAUAUCGAAUCUGCGGAAAUUAUAAUUAAAAUUCAUGUUCAUGCAACUGUUAGUAUAUUGGUGCGGGUAUCGAUGUCUCGCGAGUUGUUUUGUAUUUUGUUGUGUUCUAGCGUGGCAGCUUGACGAGGGUCCCGAGAAAUUUGUGCAAACUCCUCACCAACGUUAUCAAGGCCCCCAGAAUUCUCGCUUUCUUCACCUUGAGCAAAAAUUCCGACGGUAGAAGCUGGCGCGCUUUUCUAACCUGAGAGUCGAUUUCGGACAGGACUCUCACUACAAGAUUCUGGUGUAGAAACGUCACAAUUGUACAGUGAUAGGCACCAAUGGAGGAUAUAAUGGAGAAAAAUGCUUUCUAUGAUAAUUAGAAGCAGUUCAGGAGAUGCUUCCUAAGGGUUCCUCCGGCAUGGUCUUGAUGACCGUAAAAACAAUGGUGAACUGUGUGCAGAUUUUUGUCACUUCAACCGCACAGUAAUCGAUGCAACACUGUUCGAGCACAAGGCCUGGCAGAAGAUUAGUUGUAUUUCGACCAACCGGCAAGAAAUAUCUAAUGAGAUUAACUAUAUCCAGAUCAGUAGUAGGUUAAGGAGCUGUCCUACGAAUGUGCUUAACAAAAGUGGUACUAACACCAGCACAACUUAGUUUUCUACCUGACAGACCAUGCUAAUAUGAACCUACUGUAAAAAGUACCGUUAAAAAUAUUUCGUAUCACAUUGGGAGCACCGUGAUCUGUAAUUACCAUUAACCAAAAGUGUCAUUGAAGAAUAUGGUAUAGAGAGUAUUAUCAACGGAAAUGAUUGGCUAAUUACCGAAAGUAAAGAAUGAACAGCGGGAAGCUAGUGGAUUCAGGCUAUUACUGCGUAGAUACAUGUUAAAU